RNAcentral lists this ribosomal RNA (366 nucleotides) under uncultured bacterium. RNAcentral describes it as "bacterial SSU rRNA". It matches the Rfam family "Bacterial small subunit ribosomal RNA", at positions 29 to 423 of the family's 1533-position model. The record is from RNAcentral.
AACGAACGCUGGCGGCAGGCCUAACACAUGCAAGUCGAACGCUCCGCAAGGGGAGUGGCGCACGGGUGAGUAACACGUGGGAACCUACCUUCUGGUACGGAACAACCAAGGGAAACUUUGGCUAAGACCGUAUACGACCUCCGGGUGAAAGAUUGAUCGCCGGAAGAGGGGCCCGCGUCCGAUUAGGUAGUUGGUGAGGUAACGGCUCACCAAGCCUUCGAUCGGUAGCUGGUCUGAGAGGAUGACCAGCCACACUGGGACUGAGACACGGCCCACGACUCCCACGGGAGGCAGCAGUGGGGAAUAUUGGACAAUGGGCGCAAGCCUGAUCCAGCCAUGCCGCGUGAGUGAUGAAGGCCUUCGGUU